GCGGCGGGAGAUGAGUCCGAGAGUUAGAGCAAAAACUUCUGAAAUAUGGGAGUAUUUAAUAUUUCAGGCCAACUGUUAAAAGAGUUGUCUGUACACUCUGUCAAACUUCACUCGGAAACACACAGGAGUUGUUCAAGAAGUUUGGAGCGUUUAUUUUCUCUCCUCCGUAUCUCCUCCGGGGCUCCAAAGAUGCGCUCACAGAAAAGAAGAAGACAACAAAGCAGUACACCGUCUUCACAACUCUGAGACAAACUGUAGCAGGCGCUACGAACCGGAGCAAGGACUAACCUCGCCUCAUAACGAGGCCGUGA
Molecule: long non-coding RNA, 311 nt
Organism: Perca flavescens (yellow perch)
Lineage: Eukaryota; Metazoa; Chordata; Actinopteri; Perciformes; Percidae
Exons: 3
Source: RefSeq, a predicted model, not a curated record